AUUCCAGCUCCAAUAGCGUAUAUUAAAGUUGUUGCAGUUAAAAAGCUCGUAGUUGGAUCUCAGGGUGAGCUCAGUUGGUCGGCCUAAUUGGUCAGAACUGGCUGACUCUCCCUUGCUUCUGAAUCCCGGUCGGAGUUAGUUCUUCGUUCGUGGACUUCAGAUCGUUUACCUUGAAAAAAUUAGAGUGUUCAAAGCGGGCGUUUGCUUGAAUACAUUAGCAUGGAAUAAUGGAAUAGGACCCUGGUUCUAUUUUGUUGGUUUUGAGGACCAGAGUAAUGAUUAAUAGGGAUAGUUGGGGGCAUUCAUAUUUACAUGUCAGAGGUGAAAUUCUUGGAUUUUGGAAAGAUGAACUACUGCGAAGGCAUUUACCAAGGAUGUUUUCAUUG
This 386-nucleotide ribosomal RNA is filed under the name Telonemia sp. RNAcentral describes it as "partial small subunit ribosomal RNA". It matches the Rfam family "Eukaryotic small subunit ribosomal RNA", at positions 582 to 975 of the family's 1831-position model. The record is from RNAcentral. Lineage: Eukaryota; Telonemia.